This 253-nucleotide ribosomal RNA is filed under the name uncultured bacterium. Its description in RNAcentral is "partial 16S ribosomal RNA". It matches the Rfam family "Bacterial small subunit ribosomal RNA", at positions 524 to 776 of the family's 1533-position model. The record is from RNAcentral.
UACGAAGGGGGCUAGCGUUGCUCGGAAUCACUGGGCGUAAAGGGUGCGUAGGCGGCUGUACAAGUCAAAGGUGAAAUCCCUCGGCUCAACUGAGGAACUGCCUUUGAAACUGUACGGCUUGAGGCCGGGAGGGGGUAGCGGAAUUCCCAGUGUAGCGGUGAAAUGCGUAGAUAUUGGGAGGAACACCAGUGGCGAAGGCGGCUACCUGGACCGGUUCUGACGCUGAGGCGCGAAAGCAUGGGUAGCAAACAGG